AAGAGAACGGACAAGAGAUGCCCAAUCCCCAUUUACUAUGUGCACUAUGGAUGCAAGCAUAGCAAACUGAUGCUUCUUUUCCAUUUGGCAGAGUAAACCAAAAUCCAGGAACCCUAUUUUUCCUGAUGAUGUGUAACGCAAGUUUCCUGGAUGGGGAUCAGCAUGCAAUAAGCCUGUUUCAAGAAGCUGAACUAGUGCUGAUUCCACUCCUUUGCUAACCAGCUCAAGAAGUCUCCUUUUUGCUUCAAUUUUAUGCCUUUCCGAAUAUGCAGAAUCAUGAUCAAUAGUAUCACAAGUAGAUAGAGAGAGUAAAUCAGUUGGAUUCUCACCAACCCCCCUCUCCAUUGUCAGAACUCUCUUUCGACUUAAAUGAUGAUAUACUUUUGGAAUGUGCAUAAACUUAAAGGAUGAAUGAGCAUCCAGAAACUUGGAGGCAUUGGCAGCCUCUAGACAGUAAUCCAAUUCCCCAACUAAACCUUUCCCAAGCUCAUCGGCAUAGAGGCGAAGGUCACUUUUUCUCUU
RNAcentral lists this unclassified non-coding RNA (522 nucleotides) under Hevea brasiliensis (rubber tree). The record is from RNAcentral. Lineage: Eukaryota; Viridiplantae; Streptophyta; Magnoliopsida; Malpighiales; Euphorbiaceae.